GUCCCUCACCCAGCUUGCAGCAUAAAGCCUAGACGCUUCCUUAAGCACAAGAUAGCGCUCCUUCAAAGAUAGUUUCCUGCGUUUUUUGAAGUGAGGAGGGUCCGGUAAAGAUGAAGGAAAAGCAAUCUCUUUCAGAUCAUAUCGAACAUAAUCAGAUACUUUCCUCCAAACUACCUUCAACUUCAUUCUGAAUCCAAUAGUGAAGCAGCUCCGCCAAAAAGAGAUUGGGGAAAGAUGGAUACUGGAGUCGGACCUUCG
RNAcentral lists this unclassified non-coding RNA (258 nucleotides) under Hevea brasiliensis (rubber tree). The record is from RNAcentral. Lineage: Eukaryota; Viridiplantae; Streptophyta; Magnoliopsida; Malpighiales; Euphorbiaceae.